AACGCACCUUGCGCUCUUUGGUAUUCCGAAGAGCAUGCCUGUUUGAGUGUCAUGAAAUCAUCAACCCCCUACACUUUUUGUGUUAGCGGCGGCUUGGACUUGGAGGCUUAUGCUGGCUUUUCGAAGUCGGCUCCUCUUGAAUGCAUUAGCUGGACUUGUGUUUCGCAGUACGCGGUGUGAUAAUUUAUUCACCCAUGUGCGCUUACACUCCUAGUCAAGCUUCUAAUCGCUCGUAACUGAGCAAUUCUUGACCAUCUGACCUCAAAUCAGGUAGGACUACCCGCUGAACUUAA
Molecule: unclassified non-coding RNA, 293 nt
Filed under: uncultured Hyphodontia
Lineage: Eukaryota; Fungi; Basidiomycota; Agaricomycetes; Corticiales; Corticiaceae
Description: sequence contains ITS2
Rfam family: 5.8S ribosomal RNA (bases 1-52)
Source: RNAcentral